AAAACUACAGUAGUAAAAAUGCACAAGUCAGUAGGCUCAGCAGUGAGGCAAGAGGAUGCCAAAGGGAAAUUUCAUCGUCACACUAGUAUGGAUGCUGUCUGCCAUGUGUCUUUGAGACAGGAUGACUGUGUGCUUGUUUCUGGUUGCCCUGGACAACAAGAACAUAUAUGUGUAUGGAUAGACGGCAAAGAUAACUGUUUUACUACCAAGAAGUUCUUCAUGCUUUAAUCGUUUUUUGAUCAGUAAAUAGUCUGCAGUUUGUGCACUUGCUUUUUUUCUGUCAUCAUGGCUACUUUAGCAGUGCAAAUGUGCCAGUGUGAGAUUUUAUACACACACACUCAUGCACGCACAUAUACAAUUGUUUCUUUUUUUUUAAACUUUGCCUGACUUGCAAAAAUUAUAGCAAUAAUCAGACUUAACAGGCAUGAACCUAGCCUGGUGAACAUGGAGACUCCAAUGUCUAACUGCUCAAAUAUGUUUAAUUCAGACACCAUGGCUCCUACAGACAUGAAAAGAUAGAAAAGACUGAACUAAAUAUACAAGCAUGGGAGCUGGCCUUGGUAAGAUCCAGAAAUCAACUCAACACAAUAGGAAUAAAGAACACACAUGCAGAAGUUUGGAGGAUGAUGCUACAAAUCUGGAGGUCUUGCAUCUCUCUAUCCUGGUAGGUAAGGCAGACUAGGCAAAGCUGGGCCUGCAGGAAAAUGAGAGAAAUGUAUAGCAAACAUUAUGGAGAACUGGGAAUCGGGACAGAAAAGAGAAGCUGGGCCUGCUCUGGAUCAGCUGAGGUCAGAAGACAACCACCUAAGUGCAAGUCCAAGCCCCCAGUCCACAGAAUGGUGUUGACCACUUUCAGACUGGGUCUUCUGUUUCCCUGAUAGCGCCUCAUAGCCAUGCAGAGGCAUGCUUCCAGACGAGAUGACAAUGAACAAUUGACGACUGGCACUAAAUCUGAAGCACAAACAGGACAAGUCUAGUAGACAGUGGGGACUGAAAUGAUCAAAACCAAAGAGAAAGCUGAGGCCAGAUUCAUAUACUUAUUUGUGUCUAAAAUUAUCAAUAGUAUUUCAAAGUCUCCCUCCUGAUGAUCCCUGUUGACGACCUAGAAGUGAAUCAAGCAUCCAAGAACCAGAAAAUGCAGAGCAAAGAACAACAAGGCAAAAACAGAGCCAUUGGCAACGAUGUCUACAACACUCACAAUUACCUGGAGGAGCCACUAUGGAACUCAGAACAAGAACCGUCGGGGACAUUCAAGAACUAGGGCUGUAUUAACAGCCAGCAUCACAAAGAAGACUCAUGACAGACUGGCAGGCAAUGCCAGGCACCAAAAGUCAAUAAAGACAGUAAAGUAAAGAGAAACCAUCAAAUGGCAUCAAUAUAGUCCCCUGCUGUGCUGCAGAUUUCUAGCCGAAGGAAGGGAAGCCCAUCCAGGUAGAUUUGUCAAAGACUGUUUAACAUGGACCACUGAAACAGCAUCCACGGACCUCUGUCUCACACAGCAAGACAUUUCUACAGUUCUCAGGCCCUACCAAUCAUUUGUAUGGCAAGAUUGUCAAUCUCAGUCAAGGCCUUUCAUCAGGGCUCCUGUCCUCUUAAGUCAUCAUCCCUUAAGUAACCUCAAGAAAAAGCAGCAGCAGCAGCAGCAGCAGCAGCAGCAGCAGCAGCAGCAGCAGCAGCAGCAGCAGCAGCAGCAGCAGCAGCAGCAGCAGGUCCAACCACAGGGCAGACAGUGCUCUUCUCUACCUGAGGUUUUAUAACCCAAGAAGAAAGUGUAUGUACUUAAUAUGUUCAGGGUCAUUGACUAUAUCCUGUUUUAACACCCUCCCAGAAAGGGAAGCAAACACAAAAAGUAAACAGCAAUCCUCUGUA
RNA transcript from Mastomys coucha (southern multimammate mouse), 1869 nucleotides. It is a transcript of the gene named ras-related protein RabY-like, with no coding region annotated. The record is from RefSeq and is a predicted model, not a curated record. NCBI's taxonomy places the organism in Eukaryota, Metazoa, Chordata, Mammalia, Rodentia, Muridae. The transcript has 4 exons.